RNAcentral lists this ribosomal RNA (260 nucleotides) under Burkholderia stabilis. Lineage: Bacteria; Pseudomonadati; Pseudomonadota; Betaproteobacteria; Burkholderiales; Burkholderiaceae. The record is from RNAcentral.
UCCCUAAGCCAAAAACCCCCGCCCGAACAGGCGGGGGUUUUUGCAUUUCGGCGAUGGAAAUGUGUGUGAGAGACGAGGGGUAGCUUGGCCCGAGCUGGCCGCAGCGCGCCUCGAAACGUACCCGGCGGGCCGGGGCCCCGCCAUCCCCAAGAGGCCAAAGUCGUUCCGCAAUGGCCGCUAUCUACCUUAAUUCGCCGCCUUAUUGACUGUAUCUUCUGUCAAAAUCUUAGUCGCUUCACCCUUCCGUGCUUGCCCAUCAG